RNAcentral lists this ribosomal RNA (459 nucleotides) under uncultured bacterium. RNAcentral's name for it is "bacterial SSU rRNA". It matches the Rfam family "Bacterial small subunit ribosomal RNA", at positions 346 to 793 of the family's 1533-position model. The record is from RNAcentral.
AGGCAGCAGUGGGGGAAUAUUGCACAAUGGGCGCAAGCCUGAUGCAGCCAUGCCGCGUGUGUGAAGAAGGCCUUCGGGUUGUAAAGCACUUUCAGUCGUGAGGAAGGUAGUGUAGUUAAUAGCUGCAUUACUUGACGUUAGCGACAGAAGAAGCACCGGCUAACUCCGUGCCAGCAGCCGCGGUAAUACGGAGGGUGCGAGCGUUAAUCGGAAUUACUGGGCGUAAAGCGCAUGCAGGUGGUUUGUUAAGUCAGAUGUGAAAGCCCGGGGCUCAACCUCGGAAUAGCAUUUGAAACUGGCAGACUAGAGUACUGUAGAGGGGGGUUAGAAUUUCAGGUGUANCGGUGAAAUAGCGUAGAGAUCUGAAGGAAUACCGGUGGCGAAGGCGGCCCCCUCGGACAGAUACUGACACUCAGAUGCGAAAGCGUGGGGAGCAAACAGGAUUAGAUACCCUGGUAG